Molecule: long non-coding RNA, 2278 nt
Organism: Alexandromys fortis (reed vole)
Lineage: Eukaryota; Metazoa; Chordata; Mammalia; Rodentia; Cricetidae
Exons: 3
Source: RefSeq, a predicted model, not a curated record
CCAUUGCACCCUCCCUCCCGAUGCUCUGUGGGUAUGGCUGGACCAUGUCAUAAUCCAGGGAUUGUGUAAGGAAUAUCUGUAGAUAUUCUAACUGUAAGGAAUAUUUCAGACUAAGACAUAUCAAGAUGCUGAUGUUGGGGCACCCCAGCCCUCCUGGAGCCUAUACCACAGAUUCAUGCAUCCAGAGUGUCCUCUGGGUUGCCACAGACUGAAGGAAGCGCUGGUGAUCAGCUCCAUGCUUACUCUUGGGUUCACCACCACCAGGCAUGUCGGUGACAUCAUAUGAGCGUCCUUGUUGAAGCAACACACGAAUGAAUCAGGACAGUGACUCUUCCUCUUUGAACGUGUGGACGGCACGACAGAAGUGAAAAAUGCUGAGUGUGUAACAAACGCCCCCUUCACACACAUACACGCACGCACGUGCGUGCACACAUACACGCACAUGCACACACACAUACACACACGUGUGUGCACGUGGGCCCGAGCUCUGUGCAAACACAGCAAAGAGUGAUCUUCAUAUUCUGAAAAAGAGGCCAGGGUGUCUUCUCAAACCACAUCAUGAAGAAAUUUAUGAAAAAGAGAAGGACCUGGAAAUGGGGAAACGUGUGAUUCAGUUGAGCAACAGAAGCAAAUGCCCUUUCUGGUAUCUUCACUAUUUCCUCUAAACACUCCACAGAGGUAAGAAGUUUGAGGAGACAGCCUGGAGCACCAGCUGUACAGGUGGCAGCCUGGAGCACUCACUGUACAGCAACAGCCUGGAGCACUCACUGUACAGUUGACAGCCUGGAGCACUCACUGUAUAGUCAACAGCCUAGAGCACUCACUGUACAGUUGACACCCUGGAGCACUCACUGUACAGUCGACAGCCUGGAGCACUCACUGUACAGUCGACAGCAUGGAGCACCAGCUGUACAGGUGGCAGCCUGGAGCACUCACUGUACAGUUGACAGCCUGGAGCACCAGCUGUACAGUCGAAGACAAUCUCUAGUGAGUUCCACCACCCUGUCUUAAACUAUAGCCGUGAAGAGGAGCAUCCCCACUGAGUUCAAGAAGGCCAUACUUGAUUCCUGGAAAGUCAGAAGACAUACAAAAUCUACCAUCCUUACCAAGCACUCAGCCACCAGGAAGAUAGCAAUGUCCUUUUUCUGGACCCUCGUCACACCCCUACCGCUAAAGACUGUCUCUAGAGAGAAGCCAGCUUUGACUAAAUUUCAGCCCCCGUGGGUCUGUAAAGCAAAGCUGUCGGUUGCCUGCAGCCUCCUCGUUGAUCCUCAGUGUAGAAGAAGCAGCUUGGGGCUAAUCAGCAGCAGAGAUGCUCUUUACCUUGGGGCUAAUCAGCAGCAGAGAUGCUCUUUACCUUGGGGCUAAUAUCAGCAGAGAUGCUCUUUACCUUGGGGCUGAUCAGCAGUAGAGAUGCUCUCUACCCUGGGGCCAAUCAGCGGGACGCUGUUUCUAGGGCCUUCAGCGGCUUUCACUUUGGACCCUGGGGAAGCCACUGGCUUUUUAUUUGUGUCACAUGUGGCACGGAUACAAUGAUAAUAUGUAGCAGGGGAACUGCUGGUGCUCCAGCUUCCUUUGGAUGGAUUUACUUUCAUUUCAGUGACUGAUUCUCCAUUGAGAUUCAUUUUCAUUUCCUGCUAAGUGUCAGUCCAGGGGGAAGAGAAACUGAGCUGGGCUAGUAAGGAACGACUCAGAUCAUAAGGAAGGUUCAGCCAGCCCCACAGAUUGGCUAAAAUCCUUGAAAAGUAAGGAAGUUUUAAGUAUUUAUAGAUUAAAAAAAAAAAAAAAAAAAAAACCAAACUGGUACAGGAUCAUAAGUAGCUGGAUGGUGGUGGCACACACCUUUAAUCCCAGUACUUGGGAAGCAGAGGCAGGUGAAUCUCAGUGAGUUUGAGGCUAGCCUGGUCUUCAUCAGAGUUACAGGAAAGUCAGGCCAAGACAGCCAGUACUUACACAGAGAAACACUGUCUUGAAAAAGAAAGAAAGAAAGAAAGAAAGAAAGAAAGAAAGAAAGAAAGAAAGAAAGAAAUUCAGUAUUAUAUUAGAAAUGGUUAAAAUGAACGCUGUAAGGUGCUGAAGUAAUUACAAAAGAACAGGGGGUUAGGGGGUUGUGUAUCUGUUAUUCAGUCACUCAAGGGACUGGGGUAAUUAUGAGUCUGAGGCCAGCCUGGGUUGCACAGCAAGACCCUGUCACAGACCAAACAUAACAAAGGAUUGGGACAGAACCCCAGAAAGAAGCAGGGACAGCACAAUAAAAAUAAAGGCAAAAUUAAUAAAA